UACAGGUAUCUCCCCUUCAUUGAAUUUGUAGUCAAUUCAUCUCAGGGUGUCAUAAGCCUCCAAAACAGCUGGUAAAACUCCAUGUUAAGAGACCGUGAACUGCUGCUUCCAGACACUGGGGAGCAUUUGGGAUACGAUUUCACCCAUCUGCUGCAAUUGUAGUGGAACAUUUAGUAUGGAGACUCUUGUGGCCUUUGUGAUUCCCAAUAAAUUCAGAUGAAUUAG
Lacerta agilis (Sand lizard) is the source of this 225-nucleotide long non-coding RNA. RefSeq lists it as uncharacterized. The transcript has 2 exons. NCBI's taxonomy places the organism in Eukaryota, Metazoa, Chordata, Lepidosauria, Squamata, Lacertidae. The record is from RefSeq and is a predicted model, not a curated record.